RNAcentral lists this ribosomal RNA (403 nucleotides) under uncultured bacterium. Its description in RNAcentral is "partial 16S ribosomal RNA". It matches the Rfam family "Bacterial small subunit ribosomal RNA", at positions 28 to 526 of the family's 1533-position model. The record is from RNAcentral.
GACGAACGCUGGCGGCGUGCCUAAUACAUGCAAGUCGAACGCAGUGGGGACGGGUGAGUAACACGUGGGUAACCUCCCAUCAGAGGGGAUAACACUUGGAAACAGGUGCUAAACCGAUACUGAUGGAUGGACCCGCGGUGCAUUAGCCUGUUGGUGAGGUAACGGCUCACCAAGGCCACGAUGCAUAGCGGGCUUGAGAGGAUGAUGGGCCACACUGGGACUGAGACACGGCCCAGACUCCUACGGGAGGCAGCAGUGGGGAAUCUUCGAAAAUGGACGAAAGUCUGAGCGAGCAACGCCGCGUGAGUGAAGAAGGUUUUCGGAUCGUAAGACUCUGUUGUCAGGGAGGCGGUAUCGAACCAGAAAGCCACGGCUAACUACGUGCCAGCAGCCGCGGUAAUUC